RNAcentral lists this ribosomal RNA (433 nucleotides) under uncultured bacterium. RNAcentral describes it as "partial 16S ribosomal RNA". It matches the Rfam family "Bacterial small subunit ribosomal RNA", at positions 29 to 507 of the family's 1533-position model. The record is from RNAcentral.
AACGAACGCUGGCGGCAUGCCUAACACAUGCAAGUCGAACGAGACCUUCGGGUCUAGUGGCGCACGGGUGCGUAACGCGUGGGAACCUGCCCUUAGGUUCGGAAUAACUCCCCGAAAGGGGUGCUAAUACCGGAUAAUGUCUUCGGACCAAAGAUUUAUCGCCUUUGGAUGGGCCCGCGUUGGAUUAGCUAGUUGGUAGGGUAAAAGCCUACCAAGGCGACGAUCCAUAGCUGGUCUGAGAGGAUGAUCAGCCACACUGGGACUGAGACACGGCCCAGACUCCUACGGGAGGGAGCAGUGGGGAAUAUUGGACAAUGGGCGAAAGCCUGAUCCAGCAAUGCCGCGUGAGUGAUGAAGGCCUUAGGGUUGUAAAGCUCUUUUACCCGGGAUGAUAAUGACAGUAACGGGAGAAGAAGCUCCGGCUAACUCCGUG